This is a long non-coding RNA of Nymphalis io (European peacock), 4035 nucleotides long. RefSeq lists it as uncharacterized. The record is from RefSeq and is a predicted model, not a curated record. The transcript is spliced from 3 exons. NCBI's taxonomy places the organism in Eukaryota, Metazoa, Arthropoda, Insecta, Lepidoptera, Nymphalidae.
AGGACUGCAGCUGGAAUGUCAUCGUAUAGUAUUGUACAUAUUAGUGAGGAGUGCGCGAUCACCAUUUUGCCACCCUGAGCCACGUGUGGUGCUCAUCACGAGAGGGGUUACAUUGAAAUGAUUCGUGAGAGGGCCAUCGGAUGGGUUUUAGUGGGUGAAGUUACGUAUACAAAUAUAUUAUAUUUCCAUGUCUUUCCUUUUUCAAACAUCGAGGAUGCGUUUUUAUGUUCGCGGAAUCGCAAGACUUGAGAGGGAUGUGAGAUCUCUUUGAGGGCUCAUCUCAGUCUUACUGCAAUAGUGUUUGAUCGUAUUUGAACAGUCUUCGAUUAUGCAAUUGAAAUCGGAAAAAUAUAGUGUAUAUCGAGUGUGGCGUUUGUAUUGUACCAAAUCGGUUUGUAUAUAAACCGGCAAUGAACAUGCAAGUUCUCGGGUGUUGCAAUGUCCAUGGGCGGUAGUCAUUUUCUAUCAGCUUUUCCGUGCAUCUGGAUUCUUUACUUGGGUGAUGUUAGAUAAAAACCAUUGCAGAUCGGUAUAUUUAUCUGAGGAAAUGAAUGUUUCAUGUUAAAUUAAGCGUCAAUAGCGCAAUGUUUUACGGGCUGCCUGUGUAAUAAAGUCGCAGGUUCGAUCCUGACCCCUUGAGCUAUUGUCGUCCCACAACACAAGCUUCAAGCGUAAUUGGAGGCAUAAAUAAUGGUAUUAGUAAUUACCUUAAAAAACGGGUGUUGCUAUUUUUUAUCAAACAACUUUCGUAAUGAUAAAUAUAAUAAAAAGUAAGAUAACGUAUAAGUUAAGUUUUUAAUUUUGGUAUAAUAAUUAUCAUUUUUGAAGUCAUUGACGCUUUACUAUUGUUUAAAAUUUUACUGAAGGUUGGUUUUAUAUAUAUAAUAGAUAAACAUUGGCAGUAUAAUAAAUAUAAACUGUCAUACCGUACCCUACCCUACUUCAUGACAAAUAUAAAUAUUUAUUUAUUUUUGGUUUUUGUAAUCAAAAACAAAAAUAUGGCAGGCAGGAUUGAUGAUUGAGAGCCUAUAUAAGCGUAUCAUUACUAAAUCAGUCUAGACAUGACAAUCAAUGCUAAGCCCUAGAUGACUUUUUGCGGCACAAAAAGAAAUAACAUUUCAUUAAUAUUGUACGGAGGUAAUGACUGAAGCGAACAGAAGCACCUGAGCUCGAUCCGGACACGUGUGCGCAGGUGUGCGGGCACCGCCUGACACGUGCUCAUAUAGCUUACCGGCCUCUGUCUCUUGUGUCUCACAGCAAAGUUUGGGAUUAAACUUAUAAAUGUAUCUUAUUAAAUGUCAAAGAUAUUAUUUUACGGAGUCGAGAUUGUUCCACUAAAAUGCGUAAAUGUUAACCGUGUAAAUGAUUGCGGACCCAAAACCAAGUACUACUGAAUUUUCGUGUUUAAUUUGUGUUUAUAAUUCAUCUCGUGAAACCUUCAUGAGUCUGAUUUCACAUGUCUGUCACAUGUGUAUCCACCAAUUCGCAUGGAAACAGAGUGGUGUAUUGAGCUCAGAAAUCUUCUCCACAAAAAGAGAGGAGGCUUAUAUUAAAAGAAAAGAUAAAAUAUUCAUACCAGUCAGAUGAUGACGUUGCUCCAAUCAAUUCCCGUCAUGGCGAUCCUCAAUGUAGAGUAGCCAAUAUUGCUCGAGGGUUUACGCAAAAAUUCUUGGAUUUGGAUUGGAAUUGGACAAGAAACUAAUUACAUACAAUUAAAAUCAACGCAUAUAACACAUAACCUCGAGCUUUUUCAUCAUUAAUUGGACCGCCAUGUCUCUGGUUGUAUUAUAUAUAAAAGUAUGUAUUAUGUACUUAUACAUAAUUUCAAUAUUCUAUUAUGUAUGUUAAUAUCUAUAUCAGUUGGCAGUUACCUAUAACAUAGGCAAAAGUUGCCUAUUGGGAAAUUUUAGUUCUUAGGUGGAAUUUAGAAGAGAUAGUUGAAGAACUGCUCAUCAAUAUAUGUUGUUAUGUAUUAAAAUCGCUUGGAGAUGGUAACAAUAGCCAACCAGAUCUCACGUCAGUCUAUUUUAGCACGUGCCUCGUUACGAAUGUCUCGUAAUUAUUCAAGUGUUACAAAGCUAUUGUGAAUUUAUGACACGCAAAACCACCUGUACAAACCGUAACGCGUUCACUUGUUCCAACAAUUCGCUACGCACAGAACAGAUGUCAAAAUAAACGCGGAGACAAAUGGGGUGACUGUUCAUGGUGAUAAUAGCAACGCAACGCAACGCGAUAGCGUUAUACUUCGCGUGCUCUACUUGGGGUACAGCCUGAGGUAUGGCUUGCUCAGAUUGUCGGGGCAACACGGUAGCGUGCGAAGCAAUCUUGUGGCGACUCCCAGUUGAGUGGGUACCGCUGAUUUUUUUGUGGGUUUUCUGGUUCGCUCAGCGCCAGAGCGCCUCAAAUAUCUCUCUCUCCAUUUGGAGUAAAUUCGUAAAAGCGUUUUUCCAGCAACAAAAAAAAAAGAUUUGCACGGAUUCAUUUAUUCUACCGCCAAGAAUUGUCUUAGUAUUGUUGUGUACCGGUUUUAAGGGUUAGUGAACCGAUGUAACUAUAGGCAAAAGGGACAUAAAAACUUAGUUCCCAAGGUUGGUAUCGCAUUGGCGAUGUAAAGAACGGUUAAUAUUUCUUACAGCGCUAAUUUUCACAGGUAAGGCGGCCCGCUUGCCAUUCUACCUACCUAAUACAUUAAAGAAAAGUUUGCUUCCUGUCUUCUUAUUAAAAAAAGAAAUUUCAGUUUUUAAUGUAGUACCUUUAUAAAUUUAUUAAUAUUAUUUGAUUGGUAUUAUGUGAUAGCCUGUAAUCUUAACUGAUGAUCGUGGGUUCAAGCACGGGCAAGCACCAAUGAAAUUUCAUGUGCUUAAUUUGUGAUUAUAAUUCAUCUCGUGCUUGACGGUGAAGGAAAACAUCGUGAGAAAACCUGCAUGUGUCUAAUUUCAUUGAAAUUCUGCUACAUGCGUAUUCCGCCAAGCCGCAUUGGAGCAGCGUGGUGGAAUAAGCUCCAAAACCUUCUCCUCAAAAAGGGAGAGGAGGCCUUAGCCUAGCAGUGAGACAUUUACAGGCUGUUACUAAUAGAAUAUUAUUUAAAGUAGAAUUCAAUACUGGUUUUAUAGUGGUAUACGUAAGUGACCGUUUAUAUACCACUAUAGCUUCACUGUUAUAGUGACGAGUUUAUCUCCCCCUCUUCAGCGUGGUUUAGGGACCGUGACCACUUGCCAUCAGGUGGCACACUAGCCAGUCUGCCUACCGUAUAAUGUAAAAGCGAUAUAUAGCUGACCCGGUGAAGGGUUAGCAUUAUAUAAGAAGUUUUUAGAAAUAACUAAUAUCCGUUCCAUAGCAAUUGUUUGUUUUAAAUAUUCCUCACAGCAAGCAAAGAGUCGUUAGGCACAGGAUUCUAUUUUCAUGUGUAUUACAAUUGCAUGUGGUCACAGGUUCGAUUAUCUAAACGCAUUGAUAGUCCGUGGAAAGCUUAUUAGUUACCUUUAAUUAUAGGCAUUUAAUCAGUCCAAAUGUGUAUGGUUUUAUAUCUAUUUUCUAUACCUGUCACUGUGUGUGCAUAAUUUCAUGACGAUCAGUUGAGUAGUUUAGAAGUAAAAGGGUAACAAACAAACUUACAUUCUCAUAUAACAUUAGUUAGGAUUAAAGUAGUUUAUUAUUAAUAUAAUAAUUAAAUGAAUCCCAUGUGAUACUAAUUACGGGUUAUUAAUUAAUUAUGUUAAAAUUACUUCUAUUGUGUAACGACUCUUAGAUGAACAAAAACCUUUCAAUUGAAUCAAAUAUUAAUUUUAUUUAUGGCAUUAUAAUCUAAGAUUACUGUAAACGAGCAUAACUUAAAAAAAAGUAUGAAUAGUGUAUAAUCUGUGGUUGGUUGUAACUUCAAACGGCAAACACGAAUUAAUUAUGAAUACAAAUUAAGUACACAUCUUGCCUGGAGUUGAAUUCGUGAUCGCUUAAAAUACGCAUUUUAUAUAAGCUAUGUUUUUUAACAAAAAAAAUAUAUUAUAAUAUUUAAUUCUUCGUUUGCCUUUAUACAUG